Molecule: long non-coding RNA, 321 nt
Organism: Gasterosteus aculeatus aculeatus (three-spined stickleback)
Lineage: Eukaryota; Metazoa; Chordata; Actinopteri; Perciformes; Gasterosteidae
Source: Ensembl
CUCUGUGUGUGUGCUAGUGGAGCAUUUCUGUAGCGGGUUCAUUGAUAUUUCAGGUUGUUGUAAGGAGCCUUCAUUGAUUUCAGAUCAUCCCGUCGGGCAGUUAGAGGUGCGGUGAUCAGCAGAGCGGGUGAUGACGGCUCUUUUCUUCGCGGUGUGAAGGACAAAGGAAGAGAGAGCAGCACAGUCACACGUCACUCGCUGCAUUUUAAUGGUUCUCAGCUUCUACUUUUCAACUGAGGCCAUCUACUACCAAAAGCCCCGUCGGAUGUUUCUGAGGCGGCUCUGACGGAGGAGGCCUUUUUUCCAGCUGAAGACCGGGUG